AAGUAAGUUCACUAAGUAACUUCACUGAUAAGUUUGGCAAAAAUACUCACCAUUGCGAUUCUCCGUGCCUAUCAAGUUGAUUCACGUCGUUUUGAUGAUGGCCUCGAACAAGUCGCUACAUU
This is a small nucleolar RNA of Lotus japonicus, 122 nucleotides long. The record is from RefSeq and is a predicted model, not a curated record. Lineage: Eukaryota; Viridiplantae; Streptophyta; Magnoliopsida; Fabales; Fabaceae.